GCUCGGGUGGUGGAAUGGCAGACACGACGGUCUUAGAAGCCGUUGCCGGAAGGCGUGCAGGUUCAAGUCCUGUCCCGAGCACCA
RNAcentral lists this transfer RNA (84 nucleotides) under Opitutaceae bacterium. RNAcentral describes it as "tRNA-Leu". It matches the Rfam family "tRNA". Rfam says of the family: Transfer RNA (tRNA) molecules are approximately 80 nucleotides in length. Their secondary structure includes four short double-helical elements and three loops (D, anti-codon, and T loops). RNAcentral also lists the same sequence under 1 other name. The record is from RNAcentral. Lineage: Bacteria; Pseudomonadati; Verrucomicrobiota; Opitutia; Opitutales; Opitutaceae.